GAGUUUGAUCCUGGCUCAGGAUGAACGCUGGCGGCAUGCGUAACACAUGCAAGUCGGACGGAUGCCUCUGUGCAUUAGUGGCGAACGGGUGCGUAACACAUGGGAAUCUACCCACAGGGAAGGGACAGCCACUGGAAACGGUGGGUAAGCCCUCAUAUGCCGAGAGGUGAACAUCGCCACCUGAGGACGAGCCCAUGCAUGAUUAGCUAGUUGGUGAAGUAAUGGUUCACCAAGGCCACGAUCAAUAGCUGGUUUGAGAGAACGGUCAGCCACAUUGGGACUGAGAUACGGCCCAGACUCCUCCGGGAGGCAGCAGUGAGGAAUUUUUCGCAAUGGGCGCAAGCCUGACGGAGCGAUGCCGCGUGAAGGAAAGAAGGGCGAGAGCUUGUAAACUUUUUUUCACAUUGAAGAUGAUGACGGUAAAUGGGGAAAAAGCAUCGGCUAACUUCGUGCCAGCAGCCGCGGUAAUACGAGGGAUGCAAGCGUUAUCCGGAAUCACUGGGCGUAAAGCGUUCGUAGGUGGCUUACUAAGUCUUCGGUUAAAUACUAGGGCUUAACCCUACGACAUGCUGUGGAAACUGGUAAGCUUGAGUAUUAAUAGAGGUAGAGGGAAUUUCUGGUGGAGUGGUGAAAUGCGUAGAUAUCAGAAGGACCACCGGAGGCGAAGGCGCUCUACUGGCUGAUUACUGACACUCAUGAACGAAAGCUGGGGGAGCGAAAGGGAUUAGAUACCCCUGUAGUCUUAGCUGUAAACGAUGGAUACUAGGUGUUGGAAAGCCGGGCGUCUCUACGUGCGAUGCUUCAGCAUCGAAGCUUACGUGUUAAGUAUCCCGCCUGGGGAGUAUGCCCGCAAGGGUGAAACUCAAAGGGAUUGACGGGAGCCCACACAAGCGGUGGAGCAUGUGGUUUAAUUCGAUGCAACGCGAAGAACCUUACCAGCGACUUGACAUAUUACUGAACCUUUUUGAAAAAAAAGGUGCUUCGUGAGAGUAUUACAGGUGGUGCAUGGCUGUCGUCAGCUCGUGUCGUGAGAUGUUGGGUUAGGUCCCGCAACGAGCGCAACCCUCAUUUCUUAUUGUUAGCCGUAAUUAGAAAGACUGCCAGUAAUAAACUGGAGGAAGGCGAGGAUGACGUCAAGUCAGCAUGCCCCUUAUGUCCUGGGCUACACACGUGCUACAAUGGUAAAGACAACAAGAAGCUAUACAUCCUACACAAUAUCCUUUCCGUAUAUGAGGUAUCCAGGAUGCGCAAAUCUCAUAAACUUUACCUAAGUUCGAAUUGUAGGCUGCAACUCGCCUACAUGAAGGUGGAAUCGCUAGUAAUCGCUGGUCAGCUACACAGCGGUGAAUUCGUUCCUGGGCCUUGUACACACCGCCCGUCACACCCUGGGAGUUACUUAUAUCCGAAUGUACUAGCUUGAGAGCGUACUUAAGGUAUGGGUAGUGACUGAGGUGAAGUCGUAACAAGGUAACC
RNAcentral lists this ribosomal RNA (1473 nucleotides) under uncultured marine eukaryote. RNAcentral describes it as "bacterial SSU rRNA". It matches the Rfam family "Bacterial small subunit ribosomal RNA". The record is from RNAcentral.